AUGUUCUUGUGGCUGCAGCUGGACUGUGUCAGCCUUGGAGAGAAGGUGGAGCAGAGUCCUUCUACCCUGACUGUCCAGGAGGGAAACAGCUCUGUUAUCACCUGUACUUAUACAGACACUGCUUUAGACUACUUCCUUUGGUAUAAGAAAGAACCUGGAAAAGGUCCCCAGCUCCUUACAGACAUUCGUUCAAAUAAGAGCAAAAAAGAACACCAAAGAUGGAGUGUUUUAUUGAAUGACAAGGCCAAACGUCUCUCCCUGCACAUCUCAGACACCCAGCCUGGAGACUCAGCUGUCUACUUCUGUGCAGCAAUUCCUCCUUCUACCUCUAAUCCCAUUUUCUCAGUGUCUUAA
Molecule: non-coding RNA, 354 nt
Organism: Lipotes vexillifer (Yangtze River dolphin)
Lineage: Eukaryota; Metazoa; Chordata; Mammalia; Artiodactyla; Lipotidae
Source: the annotation of a RefSeq genome assembly